GAUGAACGCUGGCGGCGUGCCUAAUACAUGCAAGUCGAGCGAACAGACGAGGAGCUUGCUCCUCUGACGUUAGCGGCGGACGGGUGAGUAACACGUGGAUAACCUACCUAUAAGACUGGGAUAACUUCGGGAAACCGGAGCUAAUACCGGAUAAUAUAUUGAACCGCAUGGUUCAAUAGUGAAAGACGGUUUUGCUGUCACUUAUAGAUGGAUCCGCGCCGCAUUAGCUAGUUGGUAAGGUAACGGCUUACCAAGGCAACGAUGCGUAGCCGACCUGAGAGGGUGAUCGGCCACACUGGAACUGAGAAACGGUCCAGACUCCUACGGGAGGCAGCAGUAGGGAAUCUUCCGCAAUGGGCGAAAGCCUGACGGAGCAACGCCGCGUGAGUGAUGAAGGUCUUCGGAUCGUAAAACGCUGUUAUUAGGGAAGAACAAAUGUGUAAGUAACUAUGCACGUCUUGACGGUACCUAAGCAGAAAGCCACGGCUAACUACGU
This 496-nucleotide ribosomal RNA is filed under the name uncultured bacterium. RNAcentral's name for it is "partial 16S ribosomal RNA". It matches the Rfam family "Bacterial small subunit ribosomal RNA", at positions 28 to 506 of the family's 1533-position model. The record is from RNAcentral.